CCACACCAAAUAUAUGGUAACAGAAGUGCUAGGCACCCACGACUAUCAACUGAACACCCCACCUGGCAUUCAUGAUGUCUUUCAUACAAACCUGCUCCGACCCGCGGCUGAGGACCUGUUCCCCUCACAGAAGACCUCCAACUGGCAACCACCUGCCAUUGUAGAAGAAGACAAUGAACUUGAAUGGGAAAUCAAAGCAAUCCUCAACAACAGAACCAGCCGUCGCUGCUGCAAAUAUCUUGUCAAAUGGGUAGGAUACAAUCAUCCAACCUGGGAACCCACACCUGCCAUGAAGGACACUGCUGCACUCAACACCUACAAAUCCUCACUCGCCCCAGUAGGGGGGG
This 347-nucleotide small RNA is filed under the name Histoplasma capsulatum. RNAcentral describes it as "hypothetical RNA". RNAcentral also lists the same sequence under 1 other name. The record is from RNAcentral. Lineage: Eukaryota; Fungi; Ascomycota; Eurotiomycetes; Onygenales; Ajellomycetaceae.